RNAcentral lists this ribosomal RNA (1442 nucleotides) under uncultured Bordetella sp. Its description in RNAcentral is "partial 16S-23S ribosomal RNA intergenic spacer". It matches the Rfam family "Bacterial small subunit ribosomal RNA". Lineage: Bacteria; Pseudomonadati; Pseudomonadota; Betaproteobacteria; Burkholderiales; Alcaligenaceae. The record is from RNAcentral.
AUGGCUCAGAUUGAACGCUGGCGGGAUGCUUUACACAUGCAAGUCGAACGGCACGGACUUCGGUCUGGUGGCGAGUGGCGAACGGGUGAGUAAUGUAUCGGAACGUGCCUAGUAGCGGGGGAUAACUACGCGAAAAGCGUAGCUAAUGGCCGCACACGCCCUCGGGGAAAGCGGGGACCUUCGGCCUCGCAAUCUAUUAGAGCGGCCGAUAUCAGAUUAGCUAGGUUGGUGGGGUAACGGCUCACCAAGGCGACGAUCCGUAGCUGGUUUUGAGAGACGACCAGCCACACUGGGACUGAGAUGACGGCCCAGAUCUACGGAGGCAGCAGUGGAAUUUUGGACAAUGGGGAACUCCUGAUCCAGCCAUCCAGCGUGUGCGAUGAAGGCUCGGCCAAAGCACUUUUGGCGAGAGAAACGCACGGGAUAAUACCCCGUGCAACUGAUUUCGCCUGGUGGAAUAAGCAAUCAUAACUACGCCAGCAGCCGCGGUAAUACGUAGGGUGCAAGCGCGUUAAUCGGAAUUACUGGGCGUAGCGUGCAGGCGGUUCGGAAAGAAAGAUGAAAUCCCAGAGCGCAUUGAACUGCAUUUUUAACUACCGACAGAGUGUGUCAGAGGGAGGUGGAAUUCCGCGUAGCAGUGAAAUGCGUAGAUAUGCGGAGGAACACCGAUGGCGAAGGCAGCCUCCCGGGAUAACACUGACCGUCAUGCACGAAAGCGUGGGGAGCAAAACAGGAUUAGAUACCCUGGUAGUCCACGCCCUAAACGAUGUCAACUAGCUGUUGGGGCCUUCGGCCUUGGUAGCGCAGCUAACGCGUGAAGCGCUGACCGCCUGGGAGCAUUGGUCGCAAGAUUUAAAAACUCAAAGGAAUUGACGGGACCCGCACAAGCGUGGGUGGAUGAUGUGAUUUAAUUCGGAUGCAACGCGAAAACCUACCUACCCUUGACAUGUCUGGAAUCCCGAAGAGAUUUGGGAAAUGUGAGAACCGAACACAGGUGCGUUGCAUGGCUGUCGUCAGCUCGUGUCGAGAUGUUGUCAAGUCCCGCAACGAGCGCAACCCUUGUCAUUAGUUACAUGAAAGGGCACUCUGACGCGAGAUCAUGGUGACAACCGGAGGAAGUUGCGGGGAUGACGUCGUCCUCAUGGCUCUGCGGGUAGGGGUCACACGUCAUACAAUGGUCGGGACAGAGGGUCGCCAACCCGCGAGGGGGAGCCAAUCCCAGAAACCCGAUCGUAGUCCGGAUCGCAGUCUGCAACCCUGACCUGCAGAAGUCGGAAUCGCUAGUAAUCGCGGAUCAGCAUGUCGCGGUGAAUACGUUCCCGGGUCUUGUACACCCCGCCCGCUACACCAUGAGUGGGUUUUACCAGAAGUAGUUAGCCUAACCGGAAGGGAGGGCGAUUACCACGGUAGGAUUCAUGAUCGGGGUGGUCGUAACAAGGUAG